RNAcentral lists this ribosomal RNA (432 nucleotides) under uncultured bacterium. RNAcentral describes it as "partial 16S ribosomal RNA". It matches the Rfam family "Bacterial small subunit ribosomal RNA", at positions 29 to 507 of the family's 1533-position model. The record is from RNAcentral.
AACGAACGCUGGCGGCAUGCCUAACACAUGCAAGUCGAACGAGACCUUCGGGUCUAGUGGCGCACGGGUGCGUAACGCGUGGGAAUCUGCCCUUGGGUUCGGAAUAACAGUUGGAAACGACUGCUAAUACCGGAUGAUGACGUAAGUCCAAAGAUUUAUCGCCCAAGGAUGAGCCCCGUAGGAUUAGCUAGUUGGUGAGGUAAAGGCUCACCAAGGCGACGAUCCUUAGCUGGUCUGAGAGGAUGAUCAGCCACACUGGGACUGAGACACGGCCCAGACUCCUACGGGAGGCAGCAGUGGGGAAUAUUGGACAAUGGGCGAAAGCCUGAUCCAGCAAUGCCGCGUGAGUGAUGAGGGCCUUAGGGUUGUAAAGCUCUUUUACCCGGGAUGAUAAUGACAGUACCGGGAGAAUAAGCUCCGGCUAACUCCGUG